This 446-nucleotide ribosomal RNA is filed under the name uncultured bacterium. Its description in RNAcentral is "partial 16S ribosomal RNA". It matches the Rfam family "Bacterial small subunit ribosomal RNA", at positions 338 to 795 of the family's 1533-position model. The record is from RNAcentral.
CCUACGGGAGGCUGCAGUCGAGAAUCAUUCACAAUGGGGGAAACCCUGAUGGUGCGACGCCGCGUGGGGGAAUGAAGGUCUUCGGAUUGUAAACCCCUGUCAUGUGGGAGCAAAGUAAAAAGAUAGUACCACAAGAGGAAGAGACGGCUAACUCUGUUCCAGCAGCCGCGGUAAUACAGAGGUCUCAAGCGGUGUUCGGAGUCACUGGGCGUAAAGCGUGCGUAGGCUGUUUCGUAAGUCGUGUGUGAAAGGCGCGGGCUCAACCCGCGGACGGCACAUGAUACUGGGAGACUAGAGUAAAGGAGGGGGGAGCGGAAUUCGCGGUGUAGCAGUGAAAUGCGUAGAUAUCGAGAGGAACACUCGUGGCGAAGGCGGGUUCCUGGACAUUAACUGACGCUGAGGCACGAAGGCGAGGGGAGCGAAAGGGAUUAGAUACCCGGGUAGUC